AUUGAACGCUGGCGGCAUGCCUUACACAUGCAAGUCGAACGGCAGCACGGGUGCUUGCACCUGGUGGCGAGUGGCGAACGGGUGAGUAAUACAUCGGAACAUGUCCUGUAGUGGGGGAUAGCCCGUCGAAAGCCGGAUUAAUACCGCAUACGAUCCACGGAUGAAAGCUGGGGACCUUCGGGCCUCGCGCUAUAGGGUUGGCCGAUGGCUGAUUAGCUAGUUGGUGGGGUAAAGGCCUACCAAGGCGACGAUCAGUAGCUGGUCUGAGAGGACGACCAGCCACACUGGGACUGAGACACGGCCCAGACUCCUACGGGAGGCAGCAGUGGGGAAUUUUGGACAAUGGGCGAAAGCCUGAUCCAGCAAUGCCGCGUGUGUGAAGAAGGCCUUCGGGUUGUAAAGCACUUUUGUCAGGAAAGAAAUCCUUGGCUCUAAUACAGGCGGGGGAUGACGGUACCGGAAGAAUAAGCACCGGCUAACUACGUG
RNAcentral lists this ribosomal RNA (486 nucleotides) under uncultured bacterium. RNAcentral's name for it is "partial 16S ribosomal RNA". It matches the Rfam family "Bacterial small subunit ribosomal RNA", at positions 30 to 507 of the family's 1533-position model. The record is from RNAcentral.